This 623-nucleotide long non-coding RNA is filed under the name Phascolarctos cinereus (koala). RNAcentral's name for it is "lncRNA (ENSPCIG00000033154.1)". The record is from RNAcentral. Lineage: Eukaryota; Metazoa; Chordata; Mammalia; Diprotodontia; Phascolarctidae.
UUGCCAUCGAUGAUGUCUUCCUUCCUUCAGGGGGAUCCAGAACAAUGCCCUCCCUGGUCCUCAAUACCCGCAGAAAUGGUUACAAGCAAGUUCCUGAGGAGUUGUUUUCCAGCUGCCAUAUGCCAUCAGCCCUUCCCAGAGAUUAUACAAAUGAAUCCUCUUGUAUUACCUUUCAUAACUAAUAGUACAGAAGGGAACCUUCAAGAAGUAGGCGAAGGUUUCCUCUGGUCUGCCCAUCUUGAAAGUACACCACAAUGCAACUCCUGGGAUUAACGGGACUGAAAAGUGCUCAGGUUGGAAAGGCACACAGACUGGAAGAAUGGACGCAAGAGCAACAGAAGGAGCCAGAUCACAGAUUCUUCCAAACAGAUGUUUCCUCAGUGACUGUCCAGCUGCAGUGUUGCACAAGAGGCCAAUGCCUUAGUUUAGUACCUUAAAUGAUCUGGAUGCAUAUUUUUUAUGGAAAUCCAUGCUUUUCUCUUUCUGUAUUAUUUCUAGCAUCAGUACCUUGAAGAGUCAGCUUUGGGGGAAAAUGUACUUAAGACUGUUUAGCAAUGAACAGUAGUCUAUAUCAAUAAUUUGUUGUCAAUAAAGCCUAAAGUAGUUGAAAUGUUUAGAAUUUU